AUGUAAUAAAGUGACUGUUCACUCUUUUUUUCACCCCUUUCUCCAGGAAAACUAUUCAGCAUCAGGAUGAUAAAGAGGAUGUGGAAUAAACAGUAAAUCAGAUGACAAAAGGAAAGAACAAAUGUAAACAAGAAAAUACAAGUAGGAGAUGGACCACAAACCUUUCAUUUCAGACAAGGAAAAAACGCCAAUAAGAUGCAUAAGAGAGAAAAGCAUAUUCCACUUCCAAAAGGGAUGGGGAGAAAUAUUCUUUCUCCACCUAUUCCAAGCCUAAUAGUUCAAACGUUUUUCCUGCAGAAUUCAGGUAUGUAAUACUUUUUUUUUUUUUUUUUUUUUUUCUAGUGGUCUGUAGUGCUUUCUCCUAUUUAAGUUUCUCCAGUACUGUGUAUAAGGAAUUUAAUAUUUGAGGUUUUAA
This 415-nucleotide long non-coding RNA is filed under the name Zonotrichia albicollis (white-throated sparrow). RNAcentral's name for it is "lncRNA (ENSZALG00000005450.1)". The record is from RNAcentral. Lineage: Eukaryota; Metazoa; Chordata; Aves; Passeriformes; Passerellidae.